This 301-nucleotide ribosomal RNA is filed under the name uncultured bacterium. RNAcentral describes it as "partial 16S ribosomal RNA". It matches the Rfam family "Bacterial small subunit ribosomal RNA", at positions 509 to 807 of the family's 1533-position model. The record is from RNAcentral.
CAGUCGCCGCGGUAAUACGAAGGGGGCUAGCGUUGCUCGGAAUGACUGGGCGUAAAGGGCGCGUAGGCGGUUUGUUUAGUUAGGCGUGAAAUUCCUGGGCUCAACCUGGGGACUGCGUUUAAUACAGGCAGACUAGAGUGUGAAAGAGGGUUGUGGAAUUCCCAGUGUAGAGGUGAAAUUCGUAGAUAUUGGGAAGAACACCGGUGGCGAAGGCGGCAACCUGGUUCAUGACUGACGCUGAGGCGCGAAAGCGUGGGGAGCAAACAGGAUUAGAUACCCCCGUAGUCCCUGUCUCUUAUAC